Molecule: ribosomal RNA, 479 nt
Filed under: uncultured bacterium
Lineage: Bacteria
Description: SSU rRNA
Rfam family: Bacterial small subunit ribosomal RNA
Source: RNAcentral
AGAACGAACGCUGGCGGCAUGCCUAACACAUGCAAGUCGAACGCUUCCGGGGCUUCGGUCGCGGAGGAGUGGCGCACGGGUGAGUAGCGCGUGGGAACCUGCCCUGUUGUGGGGGAUAACCGAGGGAAACUUCGGCUAAUACCGCAUACGCCCCGGGACUUGGUCUUCGGAUUAGGUCUGGGGGGAAAGAUUGAUCGCAGCAGGAGGGGCCCGCGUCGGAUUAGCUGGUUGGUGGGGUAACGGCUCACCAAGGCGAUGAUCCGUAGCUGGUCUGAGAGGAUGAUCAGCCACACUGGGACUGAGACACGGCCCAGACUCCUACGGGAGGCAGCAGUGGGGGAAUAUUGGACAAUGGGGGCAACCCUGAUCCAGCAAUGCCGCGUGAGUGAUGAAGGCCUUAGGGUUGUAAAGCUCUUUCGCCCGCGACGAUGAUGACGGUAGCGGGAGAGAAGCCCGGCUAACUUCGUGCCAGCAGCCGC